GUCGAGAAUUUUUCACAAUGGGCGAAAGCCUGAUGGAGCGACGCCGCGUGGGGGAUGACUGGCUUCGGCCCGUAAACCCCUGUCAUUUGCGAGCAAAGCUCCGGGUCGAAUACACCCGGAGUUGAUAGUAGCGAAAGAGGAAGGGACGGCUAACUCUGUGCCAGCAGCCGCGGUAAUACAGAGGUCCCAAGCGUUGUUCGGAUUCACUGGGCGUAAAGGGUGCGUAGGUGGCAAGGUAAGUUUGAUGUGAAAUCCCCGGGCUCAACCCGGGAACUGCAUUGAAUACUCUCUUGCUAGAGGGUCGGAGGGGAGACUGGAAUUCUCGGUGUAGCAGUGAAAUGCGUAGAUAUCGAGAGGAACACCAGUGGCGAAGGCGAGUCUCUGGACGAUCACUGACACUGAGGCACGAAAGCUAGGGGAGCAAACAGGAUUAGAAACCCUUGUAGUCC
Molecule: ribosomal RNA, 449 nt
Filed under: uncultured bacterium
Lineage: Bacteria
Description: bacterial SSU rRNA
Rfam family: Bacterial small subunit ribosomal RNA
Source: RNAcentral